ACACUUUGGUUUCUCUUCAAAUCAUGUAGAUCUUUUGCCUUUUACUAAAGAUUUCCGUGGAGAGAAAUAGUUUUGAGUCACUAUGGAAUUUUUUGAGGCCUUGUGUUUCAUGACACU
This is a small nuclear RNA of Cebus imitator (Panamanian white-faced capuchin), 117 nucleotides long. Its record names the gene U5. It matches the Rfam family "U5 spliceosomal RNA". From Rfam's summary of the family: U5 RNA is a component of both types of known spliceosome. The precise function of this molecule is unknown, though it is known that the 5' loop is required for splice site selection and p220 binding, and that both the 3' stem-loop and the Sm site are important for Sm protein binding and cap methylation. Lineage: Eukaryota; Metazoa; Chordata; Mammalia; Primates; Cebidae. The record is from Ensembl.